RNAcentral lists this ribosomal RNA (267 nucleotides) under uncultured bacterium. RNAcentral describes it as "partial 16S ribosomal RNA". It matches the Rfam family "Bacterial small subunit ribosomal RNA", at positions 337 to 596 of the family's 1533-position model. The record is from RNAcentral.
ACCUACGGGGCGCAGCAGUAGGUAAUCUUCCACAAUUUACGCCCGUCUUAUGGAGCAACGCCGCGUGAGUGAAGAAGGGUUUCGGCUCGUAAAGCUCUGUUGGUAGUGAAGAAAGAUAGAGGUAGUAACUGGCCUUUAUUUGACGGUAAUUACUUAGAAAGUCACGGCUAACUACGUGCCAGCAGCCGCGGUAAUACGUAGGUGGCAAGCGUUGUCCGGAUUUAUUGGGCGUAAAGCGAGUGCAGGCGGUUCAAUAAGUCUUGUGUG